GAUGAAGAACGCAGCGAAAUGCGAUAAGUAAUGUGAAUUGCAGAAUUCAGUGAAUCAUCGAAUCUUUGAACGCACAUUGCGCCCAUUAGUAUUCUAUUGGGCAUGCCUGUUCGAGCGUCAUUUUGACCACUUAAGCCUGGCUUAGUGUUGGGAAUCUACGUCUGUAGUUCCUUAAAUCUAGUGGCGGAGCCGCAGUGGCCUCUGAGCGUAGUAAUUUUUUCUCGCUUCUGAAAGUACUGUAGUUUUUGCCAUUAAACCCCCAAUUUUUUAAGGUUGACCUCGGAUCAGGUAGGAAUACCCGCUGAACUUAAGCAUAUCAAUAAGCGGAGGA
Molecule: unclassified non-coding RNA, 331 nt
Filed under: soil metagenome
Description: partial contains 5.8S ribosomal RNA, internal transcribed spacer 2, and large subunit ribosomal RNA
Rfam family: 5.8S ribosomal RNA (bases 1-120)
Source: RNAcentral